Ribosomal RNA from Waddlia chondrophila, 115 nucleotides. The record is from Rfam. Lineage: Bacteria; Pseudomonadati; Chlamydiota; Chlamydiia; Parachlamydiales; Waddliaceae.
AUUGGUGGUUAUAGAGAAGGGGGUACACCUGAACCCAUUCCGAACUCAGUAGUUAAGCCCUUCAUCGCCGAUGGUACUGCACACAAGAGUGUGGGAGAGUAGGUCGCUGCCAAUU